RNAcentral lists this transfer RNA (74 nucleotides) under Candidatus Methanofastidiosia archaeon. Its description in RNAcentral is "Candidatus Methanofastidiosa archaeon tRNA". It matches the Rfam family "tRNA". From Rfam's summary of the family: Transfer RNA (tRNA) molecules are approximately 80 nucleotides in length. Their secondary structure includes four short double-helical elements and three loops (D, anti-codon, and T loops). Lineage: Archaea; Methanobacteriati; Methanobacteriota; Candidatus Methanofastidiosia. The record is from Rfam by way of RNAcentral.
GCCUCGGUGGCUUAGCCUGGUAUAGCGGCUGACUUGUAAUCAGCAGGUCGGGGGUUCAAAGCCCCCCCGGGGCU